Molecule: ribosomal RNA, 478 nt
Filed under: uncultured bacterium
Lineage: Bacteria
Description: partial 16S ribosomal RNA
Rfam family: Bacterial small subunit ribosomal RNA
Source: RNAcentral
GACGAACGCUGGCGGCGUGCUUAACACAUGCAAGUCGAACGGUAAGGCCCUUCGGGGUACACGAGUGGCGAACGGGUGAGUAACACGUGGGUGAUCUGCCCUGCACUUCGGGAUAAGCCUGGGAAACUGGGUCUAAUACCGGAUAGGACCACUGCCUGCAUGGGUGGUGGUGGAAAGCUUUUGCGGUGUGGGAUGGGCCCGCGGCCUAUCAGCUUGUUGGUGGGGUGAUGGCCUACCAAGGCGACGACGGGUAGCCGGCCUGAGAGGGUGACAGGCCAAGCUGGGAGUGGGCGACGGCCCAGACGCCUGCGGGAGGCAGCAGUGGGGAAUAGUGCACAAUGGGCGCAAGCCUGAUGCAGCGACGCCGCGUGAGGGAUGACGGCCUUCGGGUUGUAAACCUCUUUCAGCACCGACGAAGCGCAAGUGACGGUAGGUGCAGAAGAAGGACCGGCCAACUACGUGCCAGCCGCCGCGGUAA